GCCAGGGCCACACACAAAUGAGUCGAGGAGGAAAAAGGAGGUGAGAAAGCAGAGAACACAUAAACGCCUAUCCUCUUCCUGCCAGGCCCAAGCCCGAGGAAUUCAGAAUCUAAAACACCAGCACUGUAGCCUUCAUGAUUGGUUCCAUGUUGGAAAUAGUUCCAGCUUUCCUCUUCAGUAUCCCCAUAGGUUAAGGAUAAAACAACGGACUUCCUAUGUUACUUUUAACAAUUCUUAGGAGGCUCCAGACCCAGAACCACCCCCUCUCCUACUCUUGAAGAUAUGAGAGUACCAGUUCUGAAGAAGUGCAAACACUUGUCAAUUCUUGGAAAAGUGAUUCAAUGCAUAAUCUUCAUUUCCGUCUGGUGUGUCCUAUCAAAAUGCUGGCCUCCUGAUUUAAUAAGAUAGUAGUAUGAUGCUACAUUUCUUUGUUUUGUUAACCUAAAUACCUGGUUCUUCUUGACAACUACGCAUUCUGCUAUAUGUUGUGAUGACCAGAAGAGCCAUUCUGCACUUUCAUUUGGAGGACUCCUACUUGGAACACAAGCUACAAAGGAAUUCCCUAUCAGAGUGUCAGCACUUCACUUGGAAGUUUAAGGUAUUCCUGCUCAACAACAGCAUAUCCACUAAGAAUCAGUGGCUCGACCAUCGACUAGUCGAAGACUCUGGGUAGACUUCCUGCCUGCUGAGGAGCCAGGAUGGGAUCAGGUGACAGACAGCGACAGGAACCAGGUGGAGACGUCUGGGCAGGGCUAGGGUGCUAUCUUAAAACUUCAGAGCAAAGGGAGGUGUGAGUGAAUGCAGAAAAUAUUCUGCAUGGGCCUAUGGAUUACGGAGAGAACAUAGUAUUUCCUAGGAUAACAAAUUAAAUUAUUCUUUUUUUUGCUGAAGAUGUGGCUGAAGCAUUGAGAAACUGUAAGUCCAGAAAGUCACUGGGCACAUGGGACAAGAGCCCUCUUUCAAGAGCUCUGUGAAGAGCCACAAGAACACAGGCAGUCAAGUCCUUGGCCCUGUUGUGUGAUUAUGGGAGAAGAUGUGGUUGCUUUUGAACACCCACCAGAUAAAGGCUCUUUCAAAUGCACCUUUAUAGGACCUGGGCCUCAUCCUGGAGCUGUCUUGCCUGGUGUAGGUUCUCCCCGGAUUCCUGCUUCUACAGCUCCCGCUCAGUGGGCUUGUUCCUCCUCACGAGUGAAACUCUUCAUAAGGAACAUUUCCUCUUGCUGUGUCCUCGUUCUCUGCCUAACAGCCACACAUCUGUUACAAAACAAAACAGAACAAAAGAUUUAAUAUCAUAAAAUAUACAAAAGUGUCAUGUAAGUAAUAAGUUGAUUCCUAAGCGUUAUUGCUAUUACUAAUAAUACAUAGUCUGUUAGUUUCAAUAUACGUGUGUCAAGCCCAUUUUAAGUGUUGAGUGCUGUGCUGAGUGUUGGUUCAUAAAUGUGAACAAGACAUGCUCACUCACAGUCUAGUGGAGAAGGCAAACACGCCAUCUUCCUCAGACUGGGCUCAGCAGUGAUCGAUUGCACGGCCGAGUUGAGAGGGUGCGGUGCAAUCUGCCCUGAAGCUCCCCACCCCCACAGCCCCUCAGUACUGCUGCAGAGCUCCCCACGGUGCUCACAAGAGAAGGGGGGCACCAGGAGGUGGGCACAGUCACUUCUCGCUCUCACUCUACUUCCAAGGUGACUAUGCCCUGCUCUCUCUCACUCUACUUGAAGAGCAGCCAGACACUUUUAUUUUUAUUUUUUAUUUUUCAAAGCACAAGCAGCACACAGCAAAGGCCAGGGCUCUGAGCGGAGGAGGCUGUGCCCCCAUGCCUGCCUCCAGGACCAGGGGUCAUUUCACCUGCAGAUAAACAGAACCAUGUGCCUUGAAGUCUCUCCAGGAUGUGUGGGUUCUGUCAAGAUUAGGACCAGCUGUGGACACUGGGAGAAGCUUCUGAUCCUGCCAUGAAAGUAGAUUCUGAAACUUUGGUGGGAAAAGGCGGUAUGAAGGGGGACUGUAGUCACGUUUCUCAGAUCAAUCUGCGUAAAUUCCCUUAAGGGUCUCACGAAAGCAGACACGUUGAAUGACGAAAGUGGGGGAAAAAGUGGUUACGAUUGGGGUUGUUGAGCGGCAGGUGAGACCCAACUCUCCCUGGACAGACACUUACCAGUCUUUGCCCAGGUCCUAAAUGGGCCCAGUCCUCACUUACCACCUACCUCUUAAAGCAAAUGGUCAACAGGAAGGAGAGUGUGGGGUGAGGGCAAAAGGGAAAUCUUUGUCAGCUGUGUAGAUUUGAAAAAUUGCUAAAGAACUAUUUUCCCUCUUCCCAGGCAUUUCAGAACUUUGGGGAAAGGACAGAUAAUUCAAUAAAUGGUGUCAGGACAAAAGGCCAGACAUUUGGAGUCGGGAGGUUAAAUGUUUACUCACUUGUGUGCCAAGAGAAUUUCCACAUGGAUUAGAUGUAAAAUGUAAAAUACAGACCCAUAAAAGGCCCAGAAGAACAUAUGGAUUAAUAUUUUUAUAAUCUUGGCAUAGCAAAGGCUUUUCUAACCAUGGUAACAAAAGCAGAAACAAUAAAGAAAAAAAAUUAAAAUCCAGCACUUCUGUGUGGCCAAAACCCCACUAAAUGAAGUUAACACAGGACCAGCUGGGAAAAUAUUAGCAACUAACUUAUUUAAAGACAACAUAUAGAUCAUUGAGAAAAAGACAUUUUGGCAGAAAUAUGGCAAAGGACACCAACUUGCAUACACACAAAAAAAAAAAAUUGAAGAAAGAUACUCAGAUGCAGUAUUCAUUUUUUUAAAAUGCCAAUUGAAACAAAGAAAAUUUCCCCCCUACCUACUGAAUGGCCAGAUUGCAAAGGGGACAGGGGAAAUGGACAUCUGCGUCCCUGUGUACAUCGAGACAACCAUUCUGAUUAGACACUGGCAAUAUGUAUCUAAAGUCCUAAAAAUGUACAUAUUAUUAAUACUUCUAGAGUUUUUUCCUCAGGAAAAUCCCCAGAUUAUUAUAUACUAAGCGUGGAAUGGAAGCUGUGGGGUCCAGGUCUCUGAAGUGGGUUAUUGACUCUCAGUUCC
Molecule: non-coding RNA, 3059 nt
Organism: Microcebus murinus (gray mouse lemur)
Lineage: Eukaryota; Metazoa; Chordata; Mammalia; Primates; Cheirogaleidae
Source: RefSeq, a predicted model, not a curated record